Molecule: ribosomal RNA, 208 nt
Filed under: uncultured bacterium
Lineage: Bacteria
Description: partial 16S ribosomal RNA
Rfam family: Bacterial small subunit ribosomal RNA
Source: RNAcentral
CUCGUAGGUGGUUUGUCGCGUCGUCUGUGAAAUUCCGGGGCUUAACUCCGGGCGUGCAGGCGAUACGGGCAUAACUUGAGUGCUGUAGGGGAGACUGGAAUUCCUGGUGUAGCGGUGAAAUGCGCAGAUAUCAGGAGGAACACCGAUGGCGAAGGCAGGUCUCUGGGCAGUAACUGACGCUGAGGAGCGAAAGCAUGGGUAGCGAACA